RNAcentral lists this long non-coding RNA (1421 nucleotides) under Gallus gallus (chicken). RNAcentral describes it as "lncRNA (ENSGALG00010007072.1)". The record is from RNAcentral. Lineage: Eukaryota; Metazoa; Chordata; Aves; Galliformes; Phasianidae.
GAAAGAACGGAAAGAACGGAAAGAACGGAAAGAACGGAAAGAACCUCCACAGAGACAGAAACAUAGGGCAGAAAAUUAGGUGACAGUUCAAAAACAACUGCAGAAAGAAUGGAAAGAACGGAAAGAACGGAAAGAACCUCCACAGAGACAGAAACAUAGGGCAGAAAAUAAGGUGACAGUUCAAAAACAACAACAGAAAGAACGGAAAGAACGGAAAGAACGGAAAGAACGGAAAGAUAGGAAAGACAGGAAAGAUAGGAAAGAUAGGAAAGAACGGAAAGAACGGAAAGAACCUCCACAGAGACAGAAACAUAGGGCAGAAAUUAGGUGACAGUUCAAAAACUACAACAGAAAGAACGGAAAGAACGGAAAGAACCUCCACAGAGACAGAAACAUAGGGCAGAAAAUUAGGUGACAGUUCAAAAACAACAACAGAAAGAACGGAAAGAACGGAAAGAACCUCCACAGAGACAGAAACAUAAGGCAGAAAAUUAGGUGACAUUUCAAAAACAACUACAGAAAGAAAGGAAAGAACGGAAAGAACCUCCACAGAGACAGAAACAUAGGGCAGAAAAUUAGGUGACAGGUCAAAAACAACAACAGAAAGAACGGAAAGAACGGAAAGAACGGAAAGAACGGAAAGAACCUCCACAGAGACAGAAACAUAGGGCAGAAAAUUAGGUGACAGUUCAAAAACAACAACAGAAAGAAUGGAAAGAACGUAAAGAACAGAUAGAACGGAAAGAACGGAAAGAACGGAAAGAACCUCCACAGAGACAGAAACAUAGGGCAGAAAAUUAGGUGACAGUUCAAAAACAACUACAGAAUAAACGGAAAGAACGGAAAGAACGGAAAGAACCUCCACAGAGACAGAAACAUAGGGCAGAAAAUUAGGUGACAGUUCAAAAACAACAACGGAAACAACGGAAACAACGGAAACAACGGAAAGAACGGAAAGAACGGAAAGAACGGAAAGAACGGAAAGAACCUCCACAGAGACAGAAACAUAGGGCAGAAAAUUAGGUGACAGUUCAAAAAGAACAACAGAAAGAACGGAAAGAACGGAAAGAACCUCCACAGAGACAGAAACAUAAGGCAGAAAAUUAGGUGACAGUUCAAAAACAACUACAGAAAGAACGGAAAGAACGGAAAGAACGGAAAGAACCUCUACAGAGACAGAAACAUAGGGCAGAAAAUUAGGUUACAGUUCAAAAAGAACGGAAAGAACGGAUAGAACGGAAAGAACGGAAAAACCUCCACAGAGACAGAAACAUAGGGCAGAAAAUUAGGUGACAGUUCAAAAACAACAACAGAAAGAACGGAAAGAACGGAAAGAACGGAAAGAACGGAAAGAACGGAAAGAACCUCCACAGAGACAGAAACAUAGGGCAGAAAAUUAGGUGACAGUUCAAAAGCAACAA